UAGGGAAUCUUCGGCAAUGGACGAAAGUCUGACCGAGCAACGCCGCGUGAGUGAAGAAGGUUUUCGGAUCGUAAAACUCUGUUGUUAGAGAAGAACAAGGACGUUAGUAACUGAACGUCCCCUGACGGUAUCUAACCAGAAAGCCACGGCUAACUACGUGCCAGCAGCCGCGGUAAUACGUAGGUGGCAAGCGUUGUCCGGAUUUAUUGGGCGUAAAGCGAGCGCAGGCGGUUUCUUAAGUCUGAUGUGAAAGCCCCCGGCUCAACCGGGGAGGGUCAUUGGAAACUGGGAGACUUGAGUGCGGAAGAGGAAAGUGGAAUUCCAUGUGUAGCGGUGAAAUGCGUAGAUAUAUGGGGGAACACCAGUGGCGAAGGCGGCUCUCUGGUCUGUAACUGACGCUGAGGCUCGAAAGCGUGGGGAGCAAACAGG
This 429-nucleotide ribosomal RNA is filed under the name Gemmatimonadota bacterium. RNAcentral describes it as "Gemmatimonadetes bacterium partial 16S ribosomal RNA". It matches the Rfam family "Bacterial small subunit ribosomal RNA", at positions 355 to 776 of the family's 1533-position model. Lineage: Bacteria; Pseudomonadati; Gemmatimonadota. The record is from RNAcentral.